Molecule: long non-coding RNA, 10681 nt
Organism: Diabrotica virgifera virgifera (western corn rootworm)
Lineage: Eukaryota; Metazoa; Arthropoda; Insecta; Coleoptera; Chrysomelidae
Exons: 3
Source: RefSeq, a predicted model, not a curated record
GGUAAUCUAACUUCAACAAUAAACAAGGGCGAUUACAUCCUAUUAUAUAGGCAUUCCGCUGAUUUCGCACCGCAGUCAUUAUAGUUGCAAUUUGCAAUGCCAGAAAAAUUACAAAAAGUGAUGUUAUUUGAAGUGUGGUUUGUAGGUUUUAAAAAAUUGGAAAUGGAUCUUAUUAUGGUAAUAGUCAUAAUUAUAUUACUCUACAUACUACUAGUGUACUUAACUACUUCCCACUACAACUACGAUACUGCCGCAAUUACUCCUUCUCCAACUUUAAGGAGUACUGGUACAACAGCCAACAGUACUCCAACAGCCCUUGAACCAGUACGAAAAGAUCCAGAAAUCUUAACAAAACUAAUGAGUAGUUUAUACAUUUAUACAUAUUUUUACCCAAACUUGACCGAUGAUGUAUUUGAAGUAGAAAGUCUGAGAGAAGAGUCCCCGCAAUAUCAACUUAUCAACAGCAUAUUUUGUCAAACUACAAAUUUUUACAAAUUUAACAUAAAUUUGACUGAUUUCCAAUUAGAAAGCCUGAGAGAAGAGUCUUUGGAAUAUCAAAUUAUAAAUAGGAGAUUUUUGCAAUCUACUAGAAACAGAAGUUUUUUAAAUUACAUAGUAUCGAGAAAAUACACAAUCCUUAUCUUCUACUACAAUAUGGACUAAAAAAAAAUGAAUAUGAUCGCAGAGGAAUCGUUUACGAAGAAACAUUACUGUUCCACGGAACUAAGAAAGACAAUAUUGACGAUAUUUGCCGAAAUAAUUUUAACUGGAGAUUAACAGGUACCGCUUUUGGUUCCAGAGUCGGACAAGGUGUAAAUUUCGCAUCAGAAGCUUACUUUUCAACACAUUACUGUGACGAUGGAUAUAACAAAGUGAUGAUAAUAGCUAAUGUUUUAAUUGGUAACAGCUGUAGGGGAAAUAGUGACAUGGCUAUACCACCGAUUAAUUGUGAUACCAGCACGAACGACAAUCAGAACGUAUUCGUUAAAUACGACGAUAAUACUUUCUAUCCAUCUUUUAUUAUUCAUUUUGGAGGAAUAGACUACAAGAACAAGAAUCGAACAAGUGUCACUACUAGAAGUUUUUAAUAAUCUUCUAUUUAUAUACAUACACAAUCUACAUUCGUCCGUAUACUGCGAAAACCAGGUAAAUGUAGAAAUACCGAAAUCGAGAAAAAACGUUUUUAAAGUUUAUUGCUUUAUUUUAAAUUAGGCGGACCAGUUGUGUUUGAUAUUCGAUAUGCUAAUGAAAGAUGCAUAUAUCAGAAAUAACAUUCUAUCAUUAGUUUGAAAAAGUGAAGAGACCUAGCUGAUUAAACCUAAAUUUAAGAUCAGUUAUCAGCUUUUUACUGAAUAUGGUAGAUAUACAGCGGUAGAAAUAUAUUGUUUUCCGACAAAUAUAUAUGUGCUCUUAGUUGGUUUUACAUGCAACAGAACUUUGAUUUUAUGGAAGUAAGUAGCGAUAUAUUGUUUUAUUUGAAAAUGAAAAGUUGGUUAGGGGCCGGUUGUUCGAACGCUAAUCAACAUUGAUCACUAUCAAAAUACUUAAUUACUGUCACAACUGUCAAUGUCAACUUUGGUUGGGUUGCCGAAAACAUAAUUAUUGAUGACAAUUAUGAAAUUAGUUAAUCAAUUAUGUUAAUAAUUGUUAUGUUAAUUGACUAACUAAUCUCAUAAUUAUAAUUAACUAUGUUUUCAGCAACCCAACCAAAGUUGACAUUGACAGUAAUUAAAUAUUUGAUAGUGAUCAAUGUUGAUUAGCGUUCGAACAACCGGCCCUAAGUGUAACUUAUUUGUUUAUUAUAUAAAUUAUCUGCUGAAUGGUAAAUUGUAUCAUUUAUUGAGUUUUACCUGUAUGUAGAACGUAAAAAGCUGAGAAUUUUGGUAUACUUAGCUCAAUAUUUUAAAAUUUAUCAUUUACCUGGUUUUCGCAGUAUACCGACGAAUAUAUCAAUAGAAUCUUACAUAUUUCAGCAUAAACCUGAUUUUGCCGAAAUCCUUCAUUUUCGCAUAUUUCAUACAGCUCAAUAGAUAAAAACCGACUUUAUUCAGUCGUGUUUCGUUUGUGGUCAUCUGAGUAGAUGGCACUUUUGCAACUAUCCACUGUUAGUGGAAAAUAUCAAGACAUGUUUAUCUUUCUGUUUCUAUCUACCCGGAUUUCUGACGAUGCAGGGUUAUGCUAAAACAUGUAAGAUCCUAUUGAUACCAAUGCAUAUACAAAGGGUUUAACGAAUUGUGCUCUUGCGCCAUAUGUUUUCUUUUAAUUGGAUCAAAGCGUUGGCAAAGCUUUUGUCGAAAUCCAAUUUCACACAUAUUUCAUACAGCUCAAAAGACAGAAGCUGACUUUAUCGAGUCGUGUUUCAUUUAUGGCCAUCAGAGUAGAUGGUUCUUUUGUAGCUAUCCACUGGUAGUGGGAAAUAUCUAGAGAUAUUCUUCAACCUUUCUAUUUAUGAAUUUACAUCUACCAGGAUCUCUGACAAUGCAGGGUUAUCCUGAAUAUGUAAGGUCCUAUUGAUAUCAAUUCAUAUACAGAGUAUUUCGAACUUUCUGUUUAUGAAUGUGUAUCUGCCCGAAUCUCUGACGAUGCAGCGUUAUGCUGAAACAUGUAAGGUCCUAUUGAUACCAAUUCAUAUACAGAGGGUUUAACGAAUUGUGCUGUUGCGCAAGACAUUUGGUUUCAAUUGCAUCAAAGCGUUGGCAAAGCUUUUGCCGAAAUCCUUUAUUCUUGUAUAUUUCUUAUAUCUCAAAAGUUAGACACCGACUUUAUCGAGUCGAGUUUCGUUUAUGGUCGUCAAAGCAGAUGACACUUUUGUAGCUAUCCACUGGUAGUGGGAAAUAUCUAGAGACAUUAUUCGAACUUUCUGUUUAUGAAUUUGUAGGUAACUGCGCGGAUCUCUGACGAUGCUGGGUUAUGCUGAAACAUGUAAGAUCCUAUUGAUACCAAUUCAUAUACAGACGGUAUAACGAAUGGUGUUCUUGCGCCAUAUGCUUUGUUUUAAUUGCAUCAAAUCUUUGGCAAAACUUUUGCCACAAUCUGAUUUCUUGCAUAUUUCAUACAGCUCAACAAAUAGAAACCGACUUUAUCGACUCGUGUUUCGUUUAAGGCCAUCAGAGUAGACAGCCCUUUUGUAGCUAUCCACUGGUAGUGGGAAAUAUCUAGAGACAUUUUUCGAACUUUCUGUUUAUGAAUUUGUAGGUAUCUGCGCGGAUCUCUGACGAUGUAGGUUUAUGCUGAAACGUAUAAAAACCUAUUGAUAUCAAAGAUGUUUUAACGAAUUUUGCGCAAGAUAUGUGGUUUCAAUUGCAUCUAAGCGUUGGCAAAGCUUUUGCCAAAAUUUGAGUUCUCGCAUAUUUCAUACAGCUCAAAAGUUAGACACCGACUUUAUCGAGUCGUGUUUCGUUUAUGGCUAUCAGAGUAGAUGGCCCAUAGCAAUCCACUGGUAUUGGGAAAUAUCUAGAGAUAUUCUUCAACCUUUCUAUUUAUGAAUUUACAUCUAUCAGGAUCUCUGACAAUGCAGGGUUAUCCUGAAUAUGUAAGAUCCUAUUGAUAUCAACUCAUAUACAGAAUACUUCGAACUUUCUGUUUAUGGAUGUGUAUCUGCCCGGAUCUCUGACGAUGCAGGGUUAUGCUGAAACAUGUAAGAUUCUAUUGAUACCAAUUCAUAUACAGAUGGUUUAACGAAAUUGCGCUCUUGCGCGGUAUGUUUCGUUUUAAUUGCAGUAAAGCGUUGUCACAGCUUUUGCUGAAAUCCUUUAUUCUCGCAUGGGUAUUUUACACAGCUCAAAAGAUAGAAACCGACUUUAUCGACUGGUGUUUCGUUUAAAGCCAUCAGAGUAGAUGGCUUUUUUGUAGCUAUCCACUGGUAGUGGGAAAUAUCAAGAGACAUUCUUCGAACUUUCUGUUGAUGAAUCUGCUCGGAUCUCUGACGAUGCAGGGUUAUGCUGAAAGAUGUAAGAUCCUACUGAUACCAAUUCAUAUACAGAGGGUUUAACCAAUUGAGGUCUUGCGCCGUAUGUUGGGUUUUAAUUGCUUUAAAGCGAUGGUAAAGCUUUUGCUGAAAUCCUUCAUUCUCGCAUAUUUCAUACAGCUCAAAAGAUAGAAACUGAUUUUUUCGGGUUCUGUUUCGUUUAUGGCCAUCAGAUUAGAUGGUACUUUUUUAGCUAUCCACUGGUAGUGGGAAAUAUCAAGAGACAUUAUUCGAACUUUCUGUUUAUGAAUUUGUUUCUGGGCGUAUCUCUGACCCUGCAGGGUUAUCCUGAAUAUGUAAGAUCCUAUUGAUAUCAACUCAUAUAUAGAAAAUAAUAUUUCGAACUUUCUGUUUAUGAAUGUGUAUCUGCCCGGAUACCUGACGAUGCAGGGUUAUGCUGAAACUUGUAAGAUCCUAUUGAUACCAAUUCAUAUACAGAGUGUUUAACGAAUGGUGCUUUUGCCAAAAUCCGAUUUCUUGCAUAUUUUUUACAGCUCAAAAAAUAGAAACCGACUUUAUCGACUCGUGUUUCGUUUAAGGCCAUCAGAGUAAAUGGCCCUUUUGUAGCUAUCACUAUUCCCACUAGCAUGGUAGUGGGAAAUAUCUAGAGACAUUCUUCGAACUUUCUGUUUAUGAAUUUGUAAGUAUCUGCGCGGAUCUCUGACGAUGUAGGUUUAUGCUGAAACGUAUAAAAACCUAUUGAUAUCAAAGAUGUUUUAACGAAUUUUGAGCAAGAUAUGUGGUUUCAAUUGCAUCUAAGCGAUGUCAAAGCAUUUGCCAAAAUUUGAGUUCUCGCAUAUUUCAUACAGCUCAAAAGUUAGGCAUCGACUUUAUCGAAUCGUGUUUCGUUUAUAGCUAUCAGAGUAAAUGGCCCAUAGCUAUCCACUGGUAUUGGGAAAUAUCUAGAGAUAUUCUUCAACCUUUCUAUUUAUGAAUUUACAUCUACCAGGAUCUCUGACAAUGCAGUGUUAUCCUGAAUAUGUAAGAUCCUAUUGAUAUCAACUCAUAUACAGAAUACUUCGAACUUUCUGUUUAUGGAUGUGUAUCUGCCCGGAUCUCUGACGAUGCAGGAUUAUGCUGAAACAUGUAAGAUCCUACUGAUACCAAUUAAUAUACGGAGGGUUUAACCAAUUGAGGUCUUGGGGCGUAUGUUGGGUUUUAAUUACAUUAAAGCGAUGUCAAAGCUUUUGCUGAAAUCCUUCAUUCUCGCAUAUUUCAUACAGCUCAAAAGAUAGAAACUGAUUUUUUCGGGUUCUGUUUCGUUUAUGGCCAUCAGAUUAGAUGGUACUUUUGUAGCUAUCCACUGGUAGUGAGAAAUAUCAAGAGACAUUCUUCGAACUUUCUGUUUAUGAAUUUGUAUCUGGGCAGAUCUCUGACCAUGCAGGGUUAUCCUGAAUAUGUAAGAUCCUAUUGAUAUCAACUCAUAUAUAGAAAAUAAUAUUUCGAACUUUCUGUUUAUGAAUGUGUAUCUGCCCGGAUACCUGACGAUGCAGGGUUAUGCUGAAACUUGUAAGAUCCUAUUGAUACCAAUUCAUAUACAGAGUGUUUAACGAAUGGUGCUUUUGCCAAAAUCCGAUUUCUUGCAUAUUUCUUACAGCUCAAAAAAUAGAAACCGACUUUAUCGACUCGUGUUUCGUUUAAGGCCAUCAGAGUAAAUGGCCCUUUUGUAGCUAUCACUAUUCCCACUAGCAUGGUAGUGGGAAAUAUCUAGAGACAUUCUUCGAACUUUCUGUUUAUGAAUUUGUAGGUAUCUGCGCGCAUCUCUGACGAUGAAGGGUUAUGCUGAAACAUGUAAGAUCCUAUUGAUAAGAAUUCAUAUACAGAGGGUUUAACUAAUUGAGCUCUUGCGCAAGAUAUUUGGUUUGAAUUGCAUCAAAGCGUUGGCAAAGCUUUUGUCGAAAUCUUUUAUUCUUGUAUAUAUUUCAUAUAGCUCAAAAUAUAGAAGCCGACUUUAUCGAGUCGUGUUUCGUUUAUGGCCAUCAGAGUAGAUGGCAUUUUUGUAGCUAUCCACUGGUAGUGAGAAAUAUCAAGAGAUAUUCUUCGAAUUUUCUGUUUAUAAAUUUAUAUCUACCAGGAUCUCUGGCAUUGCAGGGUUAUCCUGAAUAUGUAAUAUCCUAUUGAUAUCAACUCAUAUGCAGAAUAUUUCGAACUUUCUGUUUAUGAAUGUGUAUCUGCCGGGACCUCUGACGAUGUAGGGUUAUGCCGAAACAUGUAAGAUCCUACUGAUACCAAUUCAUAUACAGAGGCUUUAACGAGUUGUGCUCUUCAUAUGCUGCAUUCUCUCAUAUUUCAUACAGCUCAAAAGAUCGAAACAGACUUAUUAUACUUUUGUUUCGUUUAAGGCUCUCAGAGUAGAUGCCCUUUUGUAGCUAUUCACUGGCAGUGGGAAAUAUCAAGAGACAUUCUUCGAACUUUCUGUUUAUAAAUUUGUAUCUGCCCCGAUCUCUGACGAUGCAGGGUUAUGCUGUUAUGCUGAGUUUAACGAGUUGUGUUCUUGCGCAAGAUAUUUGGUUUCAAUUGCAUCAAAGCGUUGGCAAAGCUUUUGCCGAAAUCCUUUAUUCUUGUAUAUUUCAUAUAGCUCAUAACAUAGAAACCGACUUUAUCGAGUCGUGUUUCGUUUAUGGUCGUUAGAGUAGAUGGCAGCUUUGUAGCUAUACACUGGUAGUGAGAAAUAUCAAGAGAUAUUCGUCGAAUUUUCUGUUUGUAAAUUUAGAUCUUCCAGAAUUUCUGACCGUGCAGGGUUGUCCUGAAUAUGUAAGAUCCUAUUGAUAAAGUCCUUUUCAUGAGCAUUUUUCAGUGCGUCGCAGUUUUUCGAUGUCUUUCUAACGCAUUAAAUUGUAUGUGACAGAAAAAAGGCACGUCUGUGAUUACAGACAUUUAUAACAUUUAUUUUAGUUAUUCUAGUUGUCGAUAGAUGGCGCUGUAAUCGAAGAAAAAAUUAUUUACGAAUUAUAUAAUAUAUCUACGCAUAUAAUCUGUACAAUUUCUAAGACUAUUAGAAAAGGCGAAAACGACGGGAUCGUCGUGAGACACCCCAGAAUAAGGUUCAAGAAGUCGCCCACGCGAAAAGUGGUCAAUUUUUUUUAACAAUUUCUUUUAAUCAAAUUGCAAAAAUCAAUGUUUUCGGCUCGGAGAUUUUUUUUAGAUUUUUCGGACCCUUCCGGACAGAAAAGGUUUCUUAUAAUGUUUCUCUAAAGUUGAUCGUGUUCGAGUUAUAAUCAAUUUAAAAUUUGAAAAACGCGAAAAUGGCUAUUUUUAAGACUUAAUAACUCGGUUAAAAAUGAUUAUUAUGAAAGUCAGAAAGUGACUAAAUCAAAUUUAAAGGCCCCCUUCAUGAUCCUGAAGAAAUUUGUGUCAUUAAUUUAAUACUAAGCUGCUAUUUUUAAUUAUUAAUAAUGAGUGGUAAGAUAGUAUUGACGCGGCUGUAAAUGUGAGUGCGAGUGAGAUGUGCCAUUGGAUUGCCUGAAUGGCAUCUCUUUCGCACUCAUCAUGGACGGCCGCCUAAUACGUGCAUGGCGCUCAUUAUUUUUACUUAAACAUAACAGCUUAUUAAUCAAAUAAUGACAAAAAUUUCUUCAGGAUCUUGUAGGGGGGCUUUAAACUUUGAUUUAGUUACUUUCUGACUUUCAUAGUAAUAACUUUUAACCGAGUUUUUUAUAAACCUUGAAAAUCGCCAUUUUUCGUUUUUUUCAAUUUUAAAAUGCUUUUACCUCGAAAACGAUUAACUUUAGAGAAAAAUUAUAAGAGACGUUUUGUAUCCAGAAUGUUCCAAAAAACCUAAAAAAAAUUUGUUCCGGCCAAAAAUAUUAAUUUUUACAAUUUGAUUAAAAAAGAUUGUUAAAAAAAUUUGGACCACUUUUCGCGUGGGCGACUUCUUGAAUCUUAUUCUGGAACGUCUCACGAAUGUGAUUAUGGAAAGAAAUCUCAUUGGAAUAUUUUCUCCAAAGAACCCGACGUUUUCGCCUUGUCUAUAUGCAAAUCAAAGAAAAUACCAUUUUAUAAAUGCAAUAAACAGCAUUGAUUUGUUUUUAUGCCAGAUUGCAAAUAAAAUGUAACAACUGUCAGAUUUAACUAAAAUGUCAUGUUAGAAUAAAUGUCAUAAAUGUGUAUUAUCACGGACUUACCUUUUUUUCUAUCAUUUGUGACGCACUGAAAAAUGCUCAUGAAAACGACUCUAACCAAUAAUUCAUACACAGAGGGUUUAACGUAUUAUGUAUUAUGUUUUAUUUUAAAUAUAUAUGUAUAUAUGUAUAUGGUGCAAAUGAAAGGCAUAUUGAUACAGGGUGUUCAAAAAAAAAUUUAAUCAAAUUACCUACUUGACGCAAAAAGAAAAAUGUAUGUAAUUUAUUUAAUUCAAAAUAUAUUUUACUGCUCUCAGAAAACAGAAACAAAUAUUUAUUUGACAAAUAAACAUUGCUUUUCGCUUAUAUUAAACGUUAAAAGUGUCAAGAGGCAAGUGGGUGGCAGCUUGAACAUUGAAUUUAAGCGGAAAGCAAUGUUUAUUUGCUAAAUAAACAAUUUUUUCUGUUUUUAAGGGCAGUAAAAUGUAUUUUGAACUAAAUAAAUUACAUACAUUCUUUUUUGUGUCAAUUAAUUUAAGUAAAAUAAAAUUUUUUGGGCACCCUGUAUAAAUAAUUAUAUUAAUUCAAAGUUGUAUUUCCGAAGAAAAAUAAAACUUUUAAUGAGACCACGUUUCUGGUAACGCUUACAUGGUGUCUAUUACUUGCAAACCAAACGAAUGUUGGAUUAAAGAAGACUAAGGGGAAAUGUAUAAUUUGCGUCUCAUUUCCCGUCUAUCCAACGUGGCAAAAUUCCAACGAAAACAUGGUGUCGAUACUCAGAUAGGAGUAAGAUUAAUAUAAAAGAAUUUCGCCGCGAAACGAAACGAAGGGACGUAUUAUAUUUUAGUUUGUUCGGAGUGCGCCAUAAAUAAUCUUACUAGUUUCAUUAGAAAUCAUCAGAGAUUGUAUACAGUGAGCACGUAAAGGUUGGAAUAAUUUCAUUUUCUCGAGAAUGGACGAUUUUGGAAAAAAAUCCCGAAGCAGGUCAAUUUUUAUUUUUAAAUUACGACUUUCUGGUAUUUAUAUAAUACUAGUGACGUCACCCAUUUGGGCGUUAUGAAGUCAUCGAUAAUUUUUUUAAAAGGGAAUAGGGAUCGUAUGAUAGCUCAUUUAAAAGGUAAUUCAAUUCUCUAUUCAGUAAUAUAAACAUUAACAUAACUAUUUAUACAGGGUGUCGAAAAAAAUUUUUUUGAAUUCAAUUUAUUGACAUAAAAAGAAGAAUAUGUGUAAUUGAUUUAAUUCAAAAUACAUUUUACUGCUCUCAGAAAACAGAAAAAAAUGUUUUUUUGAAAAAAAAAAAUCAUUGCUUUUCGCUUAAAUUAAAUGCUCAAAUUGUCAAGCGGUAAGUGGGUGGCUGCUUUAAUAUCUAUUGAAUUUGCAAAAAACAAUAUUUAUUUGUCAAAUAAACUUUUUUCCUUUUUUCUGAUAGCAGUAAAAUGUAUUUUGAAUUAAAUAAAUUACACAGAUUCUUCUUUUUAUGUCAAUAAGUUUAAUUAAAAAAAUUUUUUUUUGGACACCCUGUAUAAAUAAUUAUGUUAAUGUUUAUAUUGCUAAAUAGAGAAUUGAAUUACCUGUCAAAUGAGCUAUGACACGACUCCUAUUCUCAUUUAAAAAAAAUCAUCGAUGACGUCACCACGCCCAAAUGGGUGACGUCACUAGUAUGAUAUAUAUGCCAAAAAGUCGUAAUUUAAAAAUAAAAAUCGACCUGUUUCGGGAUUUUUUUCCAAAAUUGUCCAUUCUCGAGAAAAUGAAUUUAUUCCAACCUUUACGUGCUCACUGUAUAUUAUAUGGAUAUCUCUAUAUGUCUAAUGAUCAUAUUUAGUUUAUAUUACUGAAUAGAGGAUUAAAUAGGCUUUCAAAUGAACUAGCACGCGACCCCUAAUCUUAUUUAAAAAAAACUUCGAUUACGUCAUCACGCUUAGAUGGACGGCGUCACUAGUAUGAUAUGUAUGUGCCAAAAAUCAAAACUUAAAAAUAAAAAUCUACCUGUUUUGGGAUUUAUUUCCAAAAUCGUCCAUUAACGAGAAAAUGAAUUGAUUUCUUUCAUUUGCACCAUACAUAAUAUAUGCAUCUUUCAAACCAAACCUUUCUUUGAGUUCGCCAUAGUUUAAAGAUACCUCCGUGAGUAUUACCUUACACAUAGAACUUUAUUUAUUCGUUGACCAGUAGUUACACAUUAAAGCGACUUCUAGUUACUGAUGUAUAAAUGGUUGGCGUUUAAAAUACGCUAAAUAGAUAACCAAUCAAUGAUGCGGAUAAAGAUAAUUUGACGCAAAACUUGAUCGUGACAGUACUUUCACAAUGUCAACGGGUAAAAUAACAACUGUCAUUUUAGGGUAGUAUUUUCCGUUAUUAUAUAGUGAAAAGUUUAUUUUAUAUUAAUUUAAUAUUGCAUUAAAAUAUUUUAAAUAUUAAUAUUCUGGAAAGUAUUUGUGUAAAUAUAUUUAUAUACACAUAUAAAUAUUCUGGCAACUGUCAGACUUAACUAAAAUGAUUCAAUGAUUCGCGACAUACUUAAAAUCCUAUAUGACGUCAAAAUUAAUGACGCACUAAAAAGAAGGGCUUGGUUUGAACGUUAUAUAGUAGUAUUAGUGUAUGUAAUAAUAAUGUUUUUAAUGUAGCGUAGAUUGUAAAUAAAGGGGUUUGUUUGGUU